Molecule: ribosomal RNA, 423 nt
Filed under: uncultured bacterium
Lineage: Bacteria
Description: bacterial SSU rRNA
Rfam family: Bacterial small subunit ribosomal RNA
Source: RNAcentral
UAAGGAAUAUUGGACAAUGGGCGCAAGCCUGAUCCAGCCAUGCCGCGUGCAGGAUGAAGGAGCUCAGCUCUGUAAACUGCUUUUGUUUGGGAAAAAUUCCCUGGUUUCUACCGGGGUUGAUUGUACCAAGAGAAUAAGGGACGGCUAACUUCGUGCCAGCAGCCGCGGUAAUACGAAGGUCCCAAGCGUUAUCCGGAUUUAUUGGGUUUAAAGGGUGCGUAGGCGGGCUAUUAAGUCAGUGGUGAAAGCCUCAAGCUUAACUUGAGAAUUGCCAUUGAUACUGAUGACCUUGAGUACAUUUGAAGUGGGCGGAAUGUGUCAUGUAGCGGUGAAAUGCUUAGAUAUGACACAGAACACCGAUUGCGUAGGCAGCUCACUAAACUGUUACUGACGCUGAGGCACGAAAGCGUGGGGAGCAAACAG